UGGGGAAUCUUCCGCAAUGGACGAAAGUCUGACGGAGCAACGCCGCGUGUAUGAUGAAGGUCUUCGGAUUGUAAAGUACUGUCAUUGGGGAAGAACGGUUUUCUUGAAAAGAUUGAGAAGACAUGACGGUACCCAAGGAGGAAGCCCCGGCUAACUACGUGCCAGCAGCCGCGGUAAUACGUAGGGGGCAAGCGUUGUCCGGAAUUAUUGGGCGUAAAGGGCGCGUAGGCGGGCCUUUAAGUCCGGUGUGAAAGAUCAGGGCUCAACCCUGAGAGUGCAUCGGAAACUGGAGGCCUUGAGGACAGGAGAGGAAAGUGGAAUUCCACGUGUAGCGGUGAAAUGCGUAGAUAUGUGGAGGAACACCAGUGGCGAAGGCGACUUUCUGGACUGUAACUGACGCUGAGGCGCGAAAGCGUGGGGAGCAAACAGGAUUAGAUACCCUGGUAGUCCACGCCGUAAACGAUGAGUGCUAGGUGUAGAGGGUAUCGACCCCUUCUGUGCCGCAGUUAACACAAUAAGCACUCCGCCUGGGGAGUACGGCCGCAAGGUUAGAAACUUAAAUGAAUUGACGGGGUCAUAGCUGUUUCC
Molecule: ribosomal RNA, 588 nt
Filed under: uncultured bacterium
Lineage: Bacteria
Description: partial 16S ribosomal RNA
Rfam family: Bacterial small subunit ribosomal RNA
Source: RNAcentral